RNAcentral lists this non-coding RNA (29 nucleotides) under Mus musculus (house mouse). The record is from RNAcentral. Lineage: Eukaryota; Metazoa; Chordata; Mammalia; Rodentia; Muridae.
UGCAUGGUACCACCUUGAGUUUAGUUGGA